This 496-nucleotide ribosomal RNA is filed under the name uncultured bacterium. Its description in RNAcentral is "partial 16S ribosomal RNA". It matches the Rfam family "Bacterial small subunit ribosomal RNA", at positions 28 to 506 of the family's 1533-position model. The record is from RNAcentral.
GAUGAACGCUGGCGGCGUGCCUAAUACAUGCAAGUCGAGCGAACGGACGAGAAGCUUGCUUCUCUGAUGUUAGCGGCGGACGGGUGAGUAACACGUGGAUAACCUACCUAUAAGACUGGGAUAACUUCGGGAAACCGGAGCUAAUACCGGAUGAUAUUUUGAACCGCAUGGUUCAAAAGUGAAAGACGGUCUUGCUGUCACUUAUAGAUGGAUCCGCGCUGCAUUAGCUAGUUGGUAAGGUAACGGCUUACCAAGGCAACGAUGCAUAGCCGACCUGAGAGGGUGAUCGGCCACACUGGAACUGAGACACGGUCCAGACUCCUACGGGAGGCAGCAGUAGGGAAUCUUCCGCAAUGGGCGAAAGCCUGACGGAGCAACGCCGCGUGAGUGAUGAAGGUCUUCGGAUCGUAAAACUCUGUUAUUAGGGAAGAACAUAUGUGUAAGUAACUGUGCACAUCUUGACGGUACCUAAGCAGAAAGCCACGACUAACUACGU